Molecule: ribosomal RNA, 270 nt
Filed under: uncultured archaeon
Lineage: Archaea
Description: partial 16S ribosomal RNA
Rfam family: Archaeal small subunit ribosomal RNA
Source: RNAcentral
CGGCAGCUCGAGUGGUGAUCGUUUUUAUUGGGUCUAAAGCGUCCGUAGCCUGCUUGAUAAAUCCCUAGGUAAAUCGAACGGCUUAACCGUUCGGAUUCUAGGGAGACUGUCUAGCUUGGGACCGGGAGAGGUCUGAGGUACUCUCGGGGUAGAGGUGAAAUUCUGUAAUCCCGAGGGGACCACCAGUGGCGAAGGCGUCAGACUUGAACGGAUCCGACGGUGAGGGACGAAGGCCAGGGGAGCGAUCCGGAUUAGAUACCCGAGUAGUCC